This is a long non-coding RNA of Podarcis raffonei (Aeolian wall lizard), 1181 nucleotides long. RefSeq lists it as uncharacterized. The transcript is spliced from 3 exons. The record is from RefSeq and is a predicted model, not a curated record. NCBI's taxonomy places the organism in Eukaryota, Metazoa, Chordata, Lepidosauria, Squamata, Lacertidae.
CUUUCAACUUGACAGCUCAGGGAAGUUACCUAGCUUUAAAAAUAAUAUAAAAUCAACUCCUUUUCCAGUUUCCUCCAUUCCAAAGCUACGGGUAUUUUCCUCUUGAAAAAGGACUCCAGGAAGUGUCCAGGGGUGACAAUUGCUGAGCUGGGCCAAGGAAAGCCUAAUCCCAUCACCAAACUUGCCAAGGGGCCAGAAAUGCAAAGGAAGUUCUAUUGUACUUUGGGUGAUGGGCCUUCAGAGGUGUUUGCCUAUGCUAAUCUUAUACCUGAGUCUUGCCCUGACAUGUCUACUUAUGCUAAUCUUGUACCAAGGGCUUGUCUGGACAUGUUUGCCAAGGUUAAACUAGUGUAACCCCUGUCUACCCCUCCCCUUUUGUGACAUGUCAGUGAUGUAACAAUGAUAUAGCAAUGAUGCUCUACAAACUGCAUUCUGGGAUAUGGUGGGGAAGUUUUAAAAGUCUUUGUCACCCCAUCCUCGGGGUUCAAAAUUCCUCUUUGAACCUGUUGCGCAAUAAACUUUGGUCUACAGCUAUUUGCUCCAGUUGAUGGCUGGACUCCUUCCUUUAUUUCGCAAGGGACCCGCGGGCUCUGCCCAACGAGCUGGUUUGACUGAACAGCCCCACACCUAGAUUUUUCCAUAACACUCAGGAGACAGAUGAGACACUCAUCUGUGGUCGCCUGGAGCAUUUGAGGGGAAAGAGAGAGAACAUUGGGGCAUACGAAACAGACAUAGAAAAAGAAAGUGACAACCUGUUUAUAAUUCAGUGGGGCCUCUUCUCAGUUCAUUCUCUUCUGGAUCAGUGCCUUAAUCCUUUGUAGAUUCUGUAUUUCACAGAAUAGUCAUUGAGGUGUCCCCAGAUGUUGGUGUCCAGUUCCCAUCAGCUUCAGCCAGCAGGGCAGACAGUCAAGGAUGAUAGAAACUCUAAUCUGGACCUCACCACCUGGACUCUGCUGCCCUAUAUCCUUCCCAUUGAAACAAAUGUGAAAAUAAAUUUUGGACGCUAUAGAUUUAUCCUGGUCUGGAGCAUGCAAUGUCUUUUGUUUUGCAGCUGUGUGAGUUGUGCUCAUAUUGUAUUGUGGUGGCCAUUGGCUAUAAACAAUAAAAUUUAUAGAUACGGUAGAUUGAACUGCAAAAAUAAGUAAUAAAAUAAUAAAACGAUUUUAUUUUUUUGGUCCUCA